RNAcentral lists this ribosomal RNA (253 nucleotides) under uncultured bacterium. Its description in RNAcentral is "partial 16S ribosomal RNA". It matches the Rfam family "Bacterial small subunit ribosomal RNA", at positions 524 to 776 of the family's 1533-position model. The record is from RNAcentral.
UACGGAGGGUGCGAGCGUUGUCCGGAAUCACUGGGCGUAAAGGGCGCGUAGGCGGUACUUCAAGUCAGGCGUGAAAGCCCCGGGCUCAGCCUGGGAACCGCGCUUGAGACUGGAGAACUAGAGUUCGGGAGAGGAUGGUGGAAUUCCCAGUGUAGAGGUGAAAUUCGUAGAUAUUGGGAAGAACACCGAUGGCGAAGGCAGCCAUCUGGACCGACACUGACGCUGAGGCGCGAAAGCGUGGGGAGCAAACAGG